GCUAAAAAAGAAAAUACACCGCAUCUUUGAUUAUUUAAAAAAGCGACCCGUGUAUGGCAUGCCCUGGAGGUAUUUAGAGUUUCAUUGCCACGAAACUCCAUUCUGCUGUUUGGAGCCGGACAAUAUAGAAUGGGUACAUUUGCUUUGGAAGUGAUACAAGUCAGUGCAAAAUAAGUAAACAAUUCAAUAUAGCUAAGUAUGUAUUUAUGAACUUUUCUCAUCAUUUUCCCAUUAUUUCGUCUUACAAAAAACAAGGAUUCGGCAAUGUUACAAUAACAGAGAAACAAAGGCACACAAUUAAUCGCAACCACUUUUAGAAUAUAAUGUUAUAAUUGUCUUUUAAUGUCGUAAAAUAUACAUUGUUCCAUGAA
Molecule: long non-coding RNA, 371 nt
Filed under: Lepeophtheirus salmonis (salmon louse)
Lineage: Eukaryota; Metazoa; Arthropoda; Copepoda; Siphonostomatoida; Caligidae
Description: uncharacterized LOC121121814
Source: RNAcentral